Long non-coding RNA from Oncorhynchus tshawytscha (Chinook salmon), 393 nucleotides. NCBI's taxonomy places the organism in Eukaryota, Metazoa, Chordata, Actinopteri, Salmoniformes, Salmonidae. The record is from Ensembl.
GCGGGCUGGUUCAGAGGCAGAGUAGUCAGGCGGACUGGUUCAGGGUCAGAGGCAGAGUAGUCAGGCAGGCUGGUUCAGGGUCAGAGGCAGAGUAGUCAGGCGGGCUGGUUCAGAGGCAGAGUAGUCAGGCGGGCUGGUUCAGGGUCAGAGGCAGAGUAGUCAGGCGGGCUGGUUCAGAGUCAGAGUAGUCAGGCGGGCUGGUUCAGGGUCAGAGGCAGAGUAGUCAGGCGGGCUGGUUCAGGGUCCGGACUGGCAAGGGUCAAAAACCAGGAGGGUGGGAAAAAAAGAGAGGCUGGGAAAAGCCAGGAACUGACAGGACAAACGUUGGUAAGCUUGACAAACAAGAGGAACUGGUAACAGACAGACAGAAAACACAGGUAUAAGUACACAGAG